UCCGGUUUCGAGCUGCCAGUCCCGGCGUCUCGUUGCCGGCUGGGAACUCGGGGAGCCGGAUUCCCGCAGCCCUCUGUGGCCGCCGCGCUGGAGCUCGGCGGGCGCGCGGACAGCUCCCGCCGGCGUUCUAGCACCUUCCGAGCCCCGGAGCAGGGCCCGACAGUGGUGCUGGGGAGAGCCGGGAGGGAGACCGCGGUCCUCUUGGAGGGGUUCUUUGCCAAACGUUGAGGAAUACGCAAUGACCAAGCCAGACGAGGUCCUUGCCCUAGGAGCUUCUGGUCCGGGCAGAGGGUGGAGAAAGGGAGGUU
Mustela erminea (ermine) is the source of this 308-nucleotide long non-coding RNA. RefSeq lists it as uncharacterized. Lineage: Eukaryota; Metazoa; Chordata; Mammalia; Carnivora; Mustelidae. The record is from RefSeq and is a predicted model, not a curated record. The transcript is spliced from 3 exons.